GAUGAACGCUGGCGGCGUGCCUAAUACAUGCAAGUCGAGCGAACGGACGAGAAGCUUGCUUCUCUGAUGUUAGCGGCGGACGGGUGAGUAACACGUGGAUAACCUACCUAUAAGACUGGGAUAACUUCGGGAAACCGGAGCUAAUACCGGAUAAUAUUUUGAACCGCAUGGUUCAAAAGUGAAAGACGGUCUUGCUGUCACUUAUCGAUGGAUCCGCGCUGCAUUAGCUAGUUGGUAAGGUAACGGCUUACCAAGGCAACGAUGCAUAGACGACCUGAGAGGGUGAUCGGCCACACUGGAACUGAGACACGGUCCAGACUCCUACGGGAGGCAGCAGUAGGGAAUCUUCCGCAAUGGGCGAAAGCCUGACGGAGCAACGCCGCGUGAGUGAUGAAGGUCUUCGGAUCGUAAAGCUCUGUUAUUAGGGAAGAACAUAUGUGUAAGUAACUGUGCACAUCUUGACGGUACCUAAUCAGAAAGCCACGGCUAACUACGUG
This 497-nucleotide ribosomal RNA is filed under the name uncultured bacterium. RNAcentral's name for it is "partial 16S ribosomal RNA". It matches the Rfam family "Bacterial small subunit ribosomal RNA", at positions 28 to 507 of the family's 1533-position model. The record is from RNAcentral.